Molecule: long non-coding RNA, 890 nt
Organism: Carassius auratus (goldfish)
Lineage: Eukaryota; Metazoa; Chordata; Actinopteri; Cypriniformes; Cyprinidae
Exons: 4
Source: RefSeq, a predicted model, not a curated record
UAGUUCAUGCUGUGGCAAUUCAUCACCAUUUCUAGCAGUUUUAGGACGCCCUGAUAUCUGAACAUUUGGCCUCUCCUGUUCUGUUCAAAAUGCCAGCAAAAGAACCAAACAACACAUUUCCAGUGCCAGUUUUGACCGGUUUUGGGAUGAUGCGCGCAGUGUACGGGCCAGAAAGGAACUGCUAUUUCAGAGCUGCACUGAAUAUAUGAGAGGAAGCUAAAAAAAUAAAUCAAGACAAAAAGGCAUCCUCUUUCCCAGUGAAAAUCCCCUUUCUAAUGACAGAGGUCGAGUCGUCAGGCAGACCAACCUGUUCGUCUCAGAGAGCUGGAUUCUGAUUGGCUGACGAGGUGGCAGGGCGUAACCUAAACCUGCCCUUGCAGAUGGACGUAAGAGGGAAAACGGAAACAGCCUGGGCAGGAAGAGAGGGUGGAGGAAGAGCAAAUGAAGAACAUUCUGUUUGCUUUUCGUGAAAGGGCACAAUAAUCUUAAUCAAAUCUUAAUGAGAGAAGCUGGCAGUCCAGUCAGGCCCACUCAUUCCCCGGCAGGCCGCAUGUCACAGCUGUCCCUCCCACACCGCCGUGUCACUGGACAAGACCCAGAACUGGGUGCCAGCAAAGACCCUCUCAAAACAUUCUGUGACCAUUACACUUUACAUCUGAUUCCAUGGAGUAGCUUUAUUAACGGCUAAUCAAUGCACUUCAUUUGCUGUUGCCUGGGCUAUUCUUUUGUGCUCUAUUCUAUUCCAUUCUAUUCUGCUCUGUUCUCCGUUCUGUUCUGUUACAGUUUGGGGUCAGUGAGAUUUUUUGAUUUGAAAGAAAUUAAUAGAAUUAACAUUCAUAAAGGAUUUCUUAAGUUUAUCAGAAGUGACAGUAAAGACAUUUAUUGUGUUU